CUUAAGGAGAGCUGGUCCUCUGGUCUCAGUGUAGCUACAGGGGGGGAAACACACUAAAGUCCUUCAAAGGGAACCCGGACUAUUUCACUGAGUUCCUCUACCUUGAUAUACAGUUAAAAAAUGAUUACAGCUCUAUCACCCUGUGAGCGUCCAUCACCCUCAAGCCUCAAGGAAACCAGGGUAAACACAGCGACCGUUGCCAUCCUUCAGCAUUCCCAGAACUUCAUUUCCUCCCAUGCACUUCCUUCUGAAGAACCUCCAGGACACUUUUGUUUGGGUGGAGACAGAAACAAGCUCAAAGCCCUGUUACAGUGGAGGAAUCAAGACCCCAACAGGCGUGGCCUGGUCACUCAGCAACACUGACAGACCACACGGCCGAGUCCGGGACUCCUGAUUCAGAGGCGGAGAGAUCGCCUUAAUGCAGCAUUCCCCAUCUGACGUGGAAGGGGGGGCGCAGAAAGCGUUCUGCUCUCAAAUAAGAUUUGUACGAUGAACCCAGUGUUGAACAAAUAAACAGCUUUCUUUUCUGCA
RNAcentral lists this long non-coding RNA (531 nucleotides) under Ursus maritimus (polar bear). Its description in RNAcentral is "lncRNA (ENSUMAG00000014134.1)". The record is from RNAcentral. Lineage: Eukaryota; Metazoa; Chordata; Mammalia; Carnivora; Ursidae.